GCUAGUGUUAUUGUUGCUGGUUACCAUUGUUGGAUUCCCUGAAAAUAACAUCCCUCCACCUACAUGUCCUACAACACUAUUAUUUACACUAAAAUUAUUCAUCCCAAACUGACUAUAAUAAUCACUCAUCAAAAUCAUUUGGGAUGAUGUGUUGCCAAUUGUCCCUGAUUGAAAUGAUAAAGCUUGCUGCUGGUGAUAAUCAUCUGCAGCCAUUUCUUGAAUAAAGCAUUUAACUUUAUUCAAGAUAUAUCCAAGAUAUUUAUCUAAAUUCCUUGAAUCCACUCAAAGCUACUAAAGAAAAGCAAAACUAAAAUCAGAGCUUCAAAAUCCCAAAUAAAAACCAAACUUUAUUCCAAUACAGUAAAAGGGGAUGCAAUAAACAAAAUUAUACAGUACCAAGAUGAAUCAUUUCACCAAGAUACCUUCACUAACGGGAAAAAUCGACUUCAAGAAAUGGACCCCACUUGGGAAUUUGUAUCUUUGUUGAUUAAAUUACAUUGCUUCACACGUUUACCAUUACUGAGCUCAGCCACUUGCUGAAGCAUAAAACCCCAACCUCAAAGAAUCAAG
Molecule: long non-coding RNA, 570 nt
Filed under: Nicotiana benthamiana
Lineage: Eukaryota; Viridiplantae; Streptophyta; Magnoliopsida; Solanales; Solanaceae
Description: long non-coding RNA (NBEN_LNC039399)
Source: RNAcentral